CAGGUAUUAAGGCCGCCGUCCUAUUUUCUCCUCCCACCCUGUGAACAUACCUAAAACGUUGCUUCGGCGGGAACAGACGGCCCUGUAACAACGGGCCGCCCCCGCCAGAGGACCCCUAACUCUGUUUUUAUAAUGUUUUUCUGAGUAAACAAGCAAAUAAAUUAAAACUUUCAACAACGGAUCUCUUGGCUCUGGCAUCGAUGAAGAACGCAGCGAAAUGCGAUAAGUAAUGUGAAUUGCAGAAUUCAGUGAAUCAUCGAAUCUUUGAACGCACAUUGCGCCCGCCAGUAUUCUGGCGGGCAUGCCUGUUCGAGCGUCAUUACAACCCUCAGGCCCCCGGGCCUGGCGUUGGGGAUCGGCGGAAGCCCCCUGUGGGCACACGCCGUCCCUCAAAUACAGUGAACGGUCCCGCCGCAGCUUCCAUUGCGUAGUAGCUAACACCUCGCAAACUGGAGAGCGGCGCGGCCAUGCCGUAAAACACCCAACUUCUGAAUGUGACCUCGAAUAGUGAUUCAGCUUUUUUUCUAACUAAACUUCUUCUAAACAUCCCUUUAACGUG
RNAcentral lists this ribosomal RNA (559 nucleotides) under Fusarium solani. RNAcentral describes it as "eukaryotic LSU rRNA". The stretch from base 166 to 319 matches the Rfam family "5.8S ribosomal RNA". Lineage: Eukaryota; Fungi; Ascomycota; Sordariomycetes; Hypocreales; Nectriaceae. The record is from RNAcentral.